UGAACAUCACUUCUCGGUGGACUCUGAAU
Molecule: small RNA, 29 nt
Filed under: Bombyx mori (domestic silkworm)
Lineage: Eukaryota; Metazoa; Arthropoda; Insecta; Lepidoptera; Bombycidae
Description: ovarian small RNA-7914
Source: RNAcentral